GGCGUGCCUAAUACAUGCAAGUCGAGCGAACAGACGAGGAGCUUGCUCCUCUGACGUUAGCGGCGGACGGGUGAGUAACACGUGGAUAACCUACCUAUAAGACUGGGAUAACUUCGGGAAACCGGAGCUAAUACCGGAUAAUAUAUUGAACCGCAUGGUUCAAUAGUGAAAGACGGUUUUGCUGUCACUUAUAGAUGGAUCCGCGCCGCAUUAGCUAGUUGGUAAGGUAACGGCUUACCAAGGCAACGAUGCGUAGCCGACCUGAGAGGGUGAUCGGCCACACUGGAACUGAGACACGGUCCAGACUCCUACGGGAGGCAGCAGUAGGGAAUCUUCCGCAAUGGGCGAAAGCCUGACGGAGCAACGCCGCGUGAGUGAUGAAGGUCUUCGGAUCGUAAAACUCUGCUAUUAGGGAAGAACAAAUGUGUAAGUAACUAUGCACGUCUUGACGGUACCUAAUCAGAAAGCCACGGCUAACUACGUGCCAGCAGCCGCGGUAAUACGUAGGUGGCAAGCGUUAUCCGGAAUUAUUGGGCGUAAAGCGCGCGUAGGCGGUUUUUUAAGUCUGAUGUGAAAGCCCACGGCUCAACCGUGGAGGGUCAUUGGAAACUGGAAAACUUGAGUGCAGAAGAGGAAAGUGGAAUUCCAUGUGUAGCGGUGAAAUGCGCAGAGAUAUGGAGGAACACCAGUGGCGAAGGCGACUUUCUGGUCUGUAACUGACGCUGAUGUGCGAAAGCG
This 738-nucleotide ribosomal RNA is filed under the name uncultured Staphylococcus sp. Its description in RNAcentral is "bacterial SSU rRNA". It matches the Rfam family "Bacterial small subunit ribosomal RNA", at positions 41 to 761 of the family's 1533-position model. The record is from RNAcentral. Lineage: Bacteria; Bacillati; Bacillota; Bacilli; Caryophanales; Staphylococcaceae.